This 468-nucleotide ribosomal RNA is filed under the name uncultured Glomus. RNAcentral's name for it is "SSU rRNA". It matches the Rfam family "Eukaryotic small subunit ribosomal RNA", at positions 569 to 1042 of the family's 1831-position model. Lineage: Eukaryota; Fungi; Glomeromycota; Glomeromycetes; Glomerales; Glomeraceae. The record is from RNAcentral.
AGCAGCCGCGGUAAUUCCAGCUCCAAUAGCGUAUAUUAAAGUUGUUGCAGUUAAAAAGCUCGUAGUUGAAUUUCGGGGUUAGCAAGUUGGUCGUGCCUUUGGUAUGCACUGGCUUUGCUGAUUCCUCCUUCUUGAAGAACUGUGAUGCUAUUAAUUUGGUGUUGCAGGGAAACAGGACUGUUACUUUGAAAAAUUAGAGUGUUUAAAGCAGGCUAACGCUUGAAUACAUUAGCAUGGAAUAAUGAAAUAGGACGUUUGAUCCUAUUUUGUUGGUUUCUAGGAUUGACGUAAUGAUUAAUAGGGAUAGUUGGGGGCAUUAGUAUUCAAUUGUCAGAGGUGAAAUUCUUGGAUUUAUUGAAGACUAACUACUGCGAAAGCAUUUGCCAAGGAUGUUUUCAUUAAUCAAGAACGAAAGUUAGGGGAUCGAAGACGAUCAGAUACCGUCGUAGUCUUAACCAUAAACUAUGC